This 162-nucleotide ribosomal RNA is filed under the name Caleana nigrita. Its description in RNAcentral is "5.8S ribosomal RNA". It matches the Rfam family "5.8S ribosomal RNA". From Rfam's summary of the family: 5.8S ribosomal RNA (5.8S rRNA) is a component of the large subunit of the eukaryotic ribosome. It is transcribed by RNA polymerase I as part of the 45S precursor that also contains 18S and 28S rRNA. Lineage: Eukaryota; Viridiplantae; Streptophyta; Magnoliopsida; Asparagales; Orchidaceae. The record is from RNAcentral.
UAUGACUCUCGGCAAUGGAUAUCUUGGCUCUUGCCUCGAUGAAGAACGCAACGAAAUGCGAUACGUGGUGCGAAUUGCAGAAUCCCGUGAACCAUCGAGUUUUUGAACGCAAGUUGCGCCUGAGGCCAACUGGCCAAGGGCACGUCCGCCUGGGCGUCUUGC